GACGAACGCUGGCGGCGUGCUUAACACAUGCAAGUCGAGCGGAAAGGCCCUUCUCUUGUGGGGCGCUCGAGUGGCGAACGGGUGAGUAACACGUGUGUAACCUGCUUUUGACUUUGGGAAAACUUCAGGAAACUGGGGCUAAUACCGGAUAGGAGCUCCUGCUGCAUGGUGGGGGUUGGAAAGUUUCGGCGGUUGGGGAUGGACUCGCGGCUUAUCAGCUUGUUGGUGGGGUAGUGGCUUACCAAGGCUUUGAGGGGUAGCCGGCCUGAGAGGGUGACCGGCCACAUGGGACUGGGGAACCGGCCCAGACUCCUACGGGAGGCAGAAGUGGGGAAUUUUGCACAAUGGGCGGAAGCCUAAUGCAGCAACGCCGCGUGCGGGAUGACGGCCUUCGGGUUGUAACCCGCUUUCGCCUGUGACGAAGCGUGAGUGACGGUAGUGGGUAAAGAAGCACCGGCUAACUACGUG
This 468-nucleotide ribosomal RNA is filed under the name uncultured bacterium. Its description in RNAcentral is "partial 16S ribosomal RNA". It matches the Rfam family "Bacterial small subunit ribosomal RNA", at positions 28 to 507 of the family's 1533-position model. The record is from RNAcentral.